Molecule: ribosomal RNA, 398 nt
Filed under: uncultured bacterium
Lineage: Bacteria
Description: bacterial SSU rRNA
Rfam family: Bacterial small subunit ribosomal RNA
Source: RNAcentral
AUUGAACGCUGGCGGCAUGCUUUACACAUGCAAGUCGAGCGGCAGCGCGGGGGCAACCCUGGCGGCGAGCGGCGAACGGGUGAGUAAUGCAUCGGAACGUACCCUGGAGUGGGGGGAUAACGCCGCGAAAGCGGCGCUAAUACCGCAUAUGCUCUGAGGAGGAAAGUGGGGGGACCGCAAGGCCUCACGCUCUGGGAGCGGCCGAUGUCCGAUUAGCUAGUUGGUGAGGUAAAGGCUUACCAAGGCGACGAUCGGUAGCUGGUCUGAGAGGAUGAUCCGCCACACUGGAACUGAGACACGGUCCAGACUCCUACGGGAGGCAGCAGUGGGGAAUUUUGGACAAUGGGGGCAACCCUGAUCCAGCCAUGCCGCGUGAGUGAAGAAGGCCUCGGUGUAAG